GUCCACGCCGUAAACGUUGGGCACUAGGUGUGGGACUCUAUCGACGGGUUCCGUGCCGUAGCUAACGCAUUAAGUGCCCCGCCUGGGGAGUACGGCCGCAAGGCUAAAACUCAAAGGAAUUGACGGGGCCCGCACAAGCGGCGGAGCAUGUGGCUUAAUUCGAUGCAACGCGAAGAACCUUACCUGGGUUGAACUAUGCAGGAAAAGCCGUAGAGAUACGGUGUCCUUCGGGGCCUGUGAUAGGUGGUGCAUGGCUGUCGU
Molecule: ribosomal RNA, 261 nt
Filed under: uncultured bacterium
Lineage: Bacteria
Description: partial 16S ribosomal RNA
Rfam family: Bacterial small subunit ribosomal RNA
Source: RNAcentral